This 1845-nucleotide long non-coding RNA is filed under the name Bemisia tabaci. RNAcentral describes it as "lncRNA ENSSWEETPG007947". Lineage: Eukaryota; Metazoa; Arthropoda; Insecta; Hemiptera; Aleyrodidae. The record is from RNAcentral.
GAGCUUGGAGGUUAGGACCUGGGUGGCUGCUACAACGUUUCUAAGUUUUUCAGAAGUUUUAUAUAUCCGGCUCGGAGGACCAUGAUUUAUAUCAAUAAUAACUCACUUUGUAGAAGGGAUAAAGGCUUUAUAAAGACAAGGAUAAAGACAGGAACGACAGAAACGAAACUUUUUCUUCUACAACUUUUUUCUGACUGACAAAGUUAAGACCAAAAAACCACUUAUCCAGUUCCAUGGUAACCCCUUCCACCGUGGCCCAGACCGUCCCAGCUGAUAAGUCUUAAUGGCGGGAACACUAAGGUGAAAAAUUCUCGAGAGAGACCUCCACCAUCAACACCCUCUUCUUCGCGUGGUUCGUCCAGGCUCCAUCCCCAUUGUGUCUGUGAAUGUUAUGGCCACAGGUUUUGUAGGGUCAAAAUAUGAACGACGCAUUUGGUUAAAUGCAUUAUUUAGCACAUUGCAGCGAUCAAUUUUCCAUUGACAAUAGGAUGGAGAUAUUUGUUCCUUCAGCGGGAGCAGCAAUGUUCUUAUACAUAUCAACUUCAGUGGCAGGCGACGAUUGUGUGUCAGAGAGGCCACAAUCAUCAGAAUCAUCAUCGCUAAGUUCAAUAGUAGGCAUCACUCGUUCACGUUCCCUUGUUGUUGGACCAUUUUCAGCAAUGCUUUCAGACCCACUCACGGAAUUGAAAUCAGGGAUGGGCAAAUCCUGAAAUGGCAUAAUAAACACUGUUUUUUCCUUAUAUAGCCGGCUGAACGUAGCGCCAUUUAAAGCAGUCCCCUUAGCUAGACCCAGGUCUACGAUUAAGGAUAAGCCUUUUUGAGUAAAGAAUUUGAAUCCAAUAUUAUCUAAGAAGGGAGAAAAUUCAUUGAUGAAUUCUUGUUUGAUUUGUUCCUCACUCAUAUUCCUUCUCAAAGUCUUAUGACGAACCACCAACUUGUUUUCGCUGUGGUGACUGUAAAACUCGCCCCUCGGUGGUGCUGUUAUGUUUGUCCUCAUCAAAAGAAUCGUUUCCUCUACAGUAAAUUCAGAGUCAUCCAUUUUAAUUUUCUUAUUUGGUGCAGUGUUGGAGGACCUCUUGUUGGCGAGGGUACGCACAACUGCAUCUCUAGUUGUACUUGAAGAUGCCCCAUGUGUCCCACCUGCACAAAACCAAAAUAAAAUAUAUUCAAUUCUUAAACAUAAUGAAGUUUUAGAAUUGGUUAAAGCCUACGGAGUUCACAUUAGGUUCAGAUCAAAAUAUGUUACACUCAGUGGCUACAUUCUGAAAACUUGUACCUACAUACUAUGAUCUGUGCCAUUGCAAAUUUCAUACUGUAUUUUAUUUUUUCGAUGGAAAACAAACCGUUCUUCUCUCUUGAGAAUUUCUGUUAUUUUUCUAGAAAAGAAUGUUCUGUAUAAAAUUAAAUUAACAACUUUGGUUUGUUUUUGUAAAAGAAAAUUGAAAAUAGAAAUAGAGAGCUUUAAAUUGAUAUUAGUUGAUUUUUAACAAAAAACUAUUUAUAAAAGUUGAUUGCAGUUUCUGCAACCUGCUUUUAUCGGACAGAAUAUCAAUCACUCAAAAAUAUUGCUGUGCUAAGCAAGAACACCAUAUGAGCCAUUAAAUGUUGCCAAAUUUCCUUCGAUAAAUCACGAGUUUUUAGGAAAAUUUUAGAAUACUUCCUCACCGAUUUUUCAGAGGGGUUUGUUCGUAAUUUGAUCUAAAAAGUCUGAAGAUUUCAAGGAAAAAUAUAGAUAAUUUUUUUAAAAUAUAAUAUUUUCUGAGGAGAAGUUUGGCAACAUUUGAAUGCUCAUAACGCGUUUUUACUUAGUUUGGUAGAAUACUAAAGUUUAUGCAUAUACAAGGA